CCUACGGGCGGCAGCAGUGGGGAAUAUUGCACAAUGGGGGAAACCCUGAUGCAGCGACGCCGCGUGAGUGAAGAAGUAUUUCGGUAUGUAAAGCUCUAUCAGCAGGGAAGAUAAUGACGGUACCUGAGUAAGAAGCCCCGGCUAACUACGUGCCAGCAGCCGCGGUAAUACGUAGGGGGCAAGCGUUAUCCGGAUUUACUGGGUGUAAAGGGAGCGUAGGCGGCAUGGCAAGUCUGAAGUGAAAGCCCGGGGCCCAACCGCGGGACUGCUUUGGAAACUGUUAAGCUGGAGUGCAGGAGAGGUAAGUGGAAUUCCUAGUGUAGCGGUGAAAUGCGUAGAUAUUAGGAGGAACACCAGUGGCGAAGGCGGCUUACUGGACUGUAACUGACGUUGAGGCUCGAAAGCGUGGGGAGCAAACAGGAUUAGAUACCCGGGUAGUC
RNAcentral lists this ribosomal RNA (440 nucleotides) under uncultured bacterium. RNAcentral's name for it is "partial 16S ribosomal RNA". It matches the Rfam family "Bacterial small subunit ribosomal RNA", at positions 338 to 795 of the family's 1533-position model. The record is from RNAcentral.